GAGGCUAGUCAGGGGCAUUAGGAGGUCUUAAUCAGUCCUUAAUUAGCCCUCUCUGGGCCCUGAUAAGGCAUUUAAAGAGCACCUAGGCCCCCUGCUGUGUGCUUGAAUGAUCUGUGUAGUAUUUUAACAGGGGAAAGGAAACAGCUGUGAUAGCCAUGGCUAUAGGGAAAGGUGUGUCUUCUUCCUUUCCUGGGGCUGUUUCUGUCCCAGUGUAUGAGAGGUUAUAAGCAGUAUCUGUGUUCCUUGUCUUGGACAUGGAUGAUCUGGGUAGAAUUAUAAAGCUAAAAAGGAAGCAGCUGUGAGGGUGAUAACUCCAGGGGGGAAGGAACUGGUGAAGCAGUUCUAUCUUCUGGCAUGGACAGGUUUCCCUGCCCGCGCUGGUGUAACAGGUUUGCCUUGUUCCCCUCCCAGCUCUUUGUGCAAAAGGAAAUUCCACAGCGAAUUUACCUCAGAUGAUACUAGCGCUUUCUGUUUGGUCUCUUACGUUCUUUUUACUCACAUAGUUACGGAUUAAGCUCUAAAGUCGUGAUGUAACUGUGUUGUCUGGCUUUGCAACGUGUUCUGGGUGGACGUGGCUCUGAGGAUAGAGGGCUUUGGUGCCCCUUCUCCAAAAGCCAUGCACUGUUCCUUGGAACACUGUGGUUGUGCUUUAGGCAGUGUGGCAGGCUCAGACAUUUAAAUGUGUUGUUAGCAGCAGGAAGGAGCACUCUGAAAUGAGUUGAACAGCGUUGUCUCUUAGUUGUUAUGAAGUCUGCUCUUAAAAGUAAUAACUUCUAAUGAUGAACAAAAGCAUUGCCUGUUCCCCGUCUCUCUUCAAAGGCAGCUGCGUGAAGAGCAGCAUUCUACUCAGGUUCAAAUCGGUUGAGCCAGGUUAAAAAUACAUACAGUUCUGUUAUUAACAUAA
This is a long non-coding RNA of Pezoporus flaviventris, 904 nucleotides long. RefSeq lists it as uncharacterized. The record is from RefSeq and is a predicted model, not a curated record. Lineage: Eukaryota; Metazoa; Chordata; Aves; Psittaciformes; Psittacidae. The transcript is spliced from 2 exons.